Molecule: ribosomal RNA, 471 nt
Filed under: uncultured bacterium
Lineage: Bacteria
Description: SSU rRNA
Rfam family: Bacterial small subunit ribosomal RNA
Source: RNAcentral
AGAAUCAACGCUGGCGGCGUGCCUAACACAUGCAAGUCGAGCGCCCGUAGCAAUACGGGAGCGGCAGACGGGAUAGUAACACGUGGGAACGCGCCCUUCGGUUCGGAAUAACUCAGGGAAACUUGAGCUAAUACCGGAUACGCCCUUACGGGGAAAGAUUUAUUGCCGAAGGAACGGCCCGCGUCCGAUUAGCUAGUUGGUGAGGUAAUGGCUCACCAAGGCGACGAUCGGUAGCUGGUCUGAGAGGACGACCAGCCACACUGGGACUGAGACACGGCCCAGACUCCUACGGGAGGCAGCAGUGGGGAAUUUUGGACAAUGGGCGCAAGCCUGAUCCAGCCAUGCCGCGUGCGGGAAGAAGGCCUUCGGGUUGUAAACCGCUUUUGUCAGGAAGAACGCUCCGGAUUAAUACCUCGGAGUAAUGACGGUACCUGAAGAAUAAGCACCGGCUAACUACGUGCCAGCAGCCGC